AUGAACGCUGGCGGCGUGCUUAACACAUGCAAGUCGAACGGUGAAAGAGAGCUUGCUCUCUGGAUCAGUGGCGAACGGGUGAGUAACACGUGAGCAAUCUGCCCUUGACUCUGGGAUAAGCGUUGGAAACGACGUCUAAUACCGGAUACGAGCUGUGAAGGCAUCUUCAACAGCUGGAAAGAAUUUCGGUCAAGGAUGAGCUCGCGGCCUAUCAGCUAGUUGGUGAGGUAAUGGCUCACCAAGGCGUCGACGGGUAGCCGGCCUGAGAGGGUGACCGGCCACACUGGGACUGAGACACGGCCCAGACUCCUACGGGAGGCAGCAGUGGGGAAUAUUGCACAAUGGGCGCAAGCCUGAUGCAGCAACGCCGCGUGAGGGACGACGGCCUUCGGGUUGUAAACCUCUUUUAGCAGGGAAGAAGCGAAAGUGACGGUACCUGCAGAAAAAGCACCGGCUAACUACGU
Molecule: ribosomal RNA, 464 nt
Filed under: uncultured bacterium
Lineage: Bacteria
Description: bacterial SSU rRNA
Rfam family: Bacterial small subunit ribosomal RNA
Source: RNAcentral